Thamnophis elegans (Western terrestrial garter snake) is the source of this 1834-nucleotide long non-coding RNA. RefSeq lists it as uncharacterized. Lineage: Eukaryota; Metazoa; Chordata; Lepidosauria; Squamata; Natricidae. The transcript has 3 exons. The record is from RefSeq and is a predicted model, not a curated record.
UAAUGAAAAAUGAUUCUUUUCUUUUUGUGUUUUUUCUGUAAUAAAACUAAUAAUUUUUUUAAAAAAAACAUAGUAAUGUAUUUGGAGACAGAUGUUAUUUUCUAUGCUAUGUCAAGGUAACGUUGGAAGAGCCUUUAGCUUCCAUUGUGACAAAGCAGACCAAAACUGCUUCCAGAUGCAGUCUUUUUAUUUGUAUGUAAAGAUAUAAAGGGAAUAAUAUUUCUUUUAUUAUAUAAUUUACCAAAAGUAGAAAAGAGGCUGAAAACUGAAUCUAGAGAUCUAGAAUAAACAUGAACUAAGAUGAAAUACAGUAGCUGAGAAUUGAUAAGCUUUUACUGAGAUGGCCAAAACUUUUGCACGCCCACUUAUGUGUGUCUGUUUAGAUCCAGGUGUUUCCCCCACACAGCCAAUUCAAACCACAUUUUGAAUUCCUUUGUGUUUUUGGUGUAAAUUGCAGAGGCAUGAUGGGUUGACAAAGCAAAAAUCUAAACAGAAACAAACAGGUGGUGUAAGAAUCUUCCUCCUUCUACCCUUGCCUAUUUCUGAUGACAUAAAUUUAUAAGUUGGUAACUGACUUUUAAAGAAAAUAAAUUUUAAUAUGAAAAGCAGAAAUCCUAACCAUGCAAUUAUUUUUUUCAAGCAUUUUUAAUCCAGACCUGGCUGGGGAAUUCUGGGAGUUGAAGUCCACAAGUCUUAAAGUUCUCAAGUUUGGACACCCCUGGAUUAGAAGGUCCCUUCCUACUCUGUUGCUUUGUUUUGUUAUUACUUUCCUGCAGAGUUUACGUCUCAGUGAGAGAUUAUUGGUUUAAGAGCCUGUUUGCUUUACUGCUGGUUUGAUGAAAAUCUCUUUCCGAUGACCCCAGAGGAUAGAACUGCUAACAAGGAUACGAGAUGGGUUUGUUGUAAAAACUACAGAUUGCAAACUUGUAUUGCAAGUUUAUCAGUAAAGAAAUAAAAAAAAUGUCUUUUUCUACAUCAAAAACUUUAUUUUCCUCCAGCUUUAACCCUAUUGGAAUGCUGUUUCAUUUUUUUGAGUUUAGCAAAUGCUUCUCUUCUUUGUGAUAUGUGUGCUUGAGUUUAUUCUGAACUGCCUAGUAAUUUUGCAGGUUUCAUACCGUAGUACAAUGAUGAAGUCACUCUCAGAUAUACACAUAGACAUAACACAAAAAAAUGUGCUUUCUUUUCCUGUGAAUUGGUUUGUAGAAUGGCCCGGACUAAUGCAUUCCACCCACGCCAGAUAGCUAAAAGUUAAUUGGUGCCUGCUGAUGAAGAUGAGAUUACUUAGUUGAGUAAGGAGGGGUAGCUAGUUGGAUAAUGAUGUCAACAAGUCAUAUAAUGAAACAUCUGCAAGCAAGCAACCAAGCUCAGCGAGCACCAAGGACUUCACAGUUCAACCCUGAGCUACAGAGCAAUAGAUCUCUUCUAUUGAAUAGUGUUUGACUGAAAGUGAUUGCUAUGAGCUGCAAAUCAUGAUAAUGUCAACAGCAUUGAUGGGGUCCUAUAAAAGAUUGAUGAAUUCCAACCGCUUCAAUAGUAACUUGGAAGCAGUCAUCCCAUCCUGAGUUUGGAAGUCAAAAUAUCCCAAAGUACAGUUGAGAUGAGAAAAUUGGCAGAAAACAGCAUGAGAGGAAAUUAUAUUCCAUUCCAUGCAUAAAAGAAAGAUUUUUCUCAAACCAUGAAGAUUGGGGAACUCAUUUGAUAAAAGGACAUAUCCUGCAACCUUAUAAGUUACAAGCUUUGCUUCCUCAUCAUUAAUUCCACCUUUCUAUUAUUUCGACCUUCAUUAAAAAAGCUUCUCAAAUGGUAGUUGAUCCUUGUUACAACAUACACAAAA